AUACGGAGGGAGCGAGCGUUAAUCGGAAUUACUGGGCGUAAAGCGCGCGUAGGUGGCCAUGUAAGUCGGAUGUGAAAGCCCUGGGCUCAACCUGGGAAUUGCAUUCGAAACUGCAUAGCUAGAGUCCAACAGAGGGAAUCGGAAUCCCAGGUGUAGCGGUGAAAUGCGUAGAUAUCUGGGAGAACAUCAGUGGCGAAGGCGGAUUCCUGGGUUGGUACUGACGCUGAGGUGCGAAAGCUAAGGGAGCGAACAGGAUUAGAAACCCCGGUAGUCC
Molecule: ribosomal RNA, 274 nt
Filed under: uncultured bacterium
Lineage: Bacteria
Description: partial 16S ribosomal RNA
Rfam family: Bacterial small subunit ribosomal RNA
Source: RNAcentral